CGAGCGGAAAGGCCCUUCGGGGUACUCGAGCGGCGAACGGGUGAGUAACACGUGAGCAACCUGCCCUAGGCUUUGGGAUAACCCCGGGAAACCGGGGCUAAUACCGAAUAGGACCUCUGACCGCAUGGUUGGUGGUGGAAAGUUUUUCGGCCUGGGAUGGGCUCGCGGCCUAUCAGCUUGUUGGUGGGGUGAUGGCCUACCAAGGCGACGACGGGUAGCCGGCCUGAGAGGGCGACCGGCCACACUGGGACUGAGACACGGCCCAGACUCCUACGGGAGGCAGCAGUGGGGAAUAUUGCACAAUGGGCGGAAGCCUGAUGCAGCGACGCCGCGUGAGGGAUGACGGCCUUCGGGUUGUAAACCUCUUUCAGCAGGGACGAAGCGUAAGUGACGGUACCUGCAGAAGAAGCGCCGGCCAACUACGUGCCAGCAGCCGCGGUAAGACGUAGGGCGCGAGCGUUGUCCGGAUUUAUUGGGCGUAAAGAGCUCGUAGGCGGCUUGUCGCGUCGACUGUGAAAACCCGCAGCUCAACUGCGGGCCUGCAGUCGAUACGGGCAGGCUAGAGUUCGGUAGGGGAGACUGGAAUUCCUGGUGUAGCGGUGAAAUGCGCAGAUAUCAGGAGGAACACCGGUGGCGAAGGCGGGUCUCUGGGCCGAUACUGACGCUGAGGAGCGAAAGCGUGGGGAGCGAACAGGAUUAGAUACCCUGGUAGUCCACGCUGUAAACGUUGGGCGCUAGGUGUGGGGGGCCUCUCCGGUUCCCUGUGCCGCAGCUAACGCAUUAAGCG
Molecule: ribosomal RNA, 787 nt
Filed under: Micromonospora sp. 3113
Lineage: Bacteria; Bacillati; Actinomycetota; Actinomycetes; Micromonosporales; Micromonosporaceae
Description: bacterial SSU rRNA
Rfam family: Bacterial small subunit ribosomal RNA
Source: RNAcentral